This 403-nucleotide ribosomal RNA is filed under the name bacterium. RNAcentral describes it as "partial 16S ribosomal RNA". It matches the Rfam family "Bacterial small subunit ribosomal RNA", at positions 355 to 776 of the family's 1533-position model. The record is from RNAcentral.
UGGGGAAUAUUGCACAAUGGGGGAAACCCUGAUGCAGCGACGCCGCGUGAACGAAGAAGGUAUUCGUAUCGUAAAGUUCUGUCCUAUGGGAAGAUAAUGACAGUACCAUAGAAGAAAGCUCCGGCUAAAUACGUGCCAGCAGCCGCGGUAAUACGUAUGGAGCGAGCGUUGUCCGGAAUUAUCGGGCGUAAAGGGUACGCAGGCGGUUUAAUAAGUCGAAUGUUAAAGAUCGGGGCUCAACCCCGCAAAGCAUUGGAAACUGAUAAACUUGAGUAGUGGAGAGGAAAGUGGAAUUCUUAGUGUAGUGGUGAAAUACGUAGAUAUUAGGAGGAAUACCAGUAGCGAAGGCGAGUUUCUGGACACAAACUGACGCUGAGGUACGAAAGCGUGGGGAGCAAACAGG